CAGAGGAGAGGAAGGAGGAGUCUGGAGAGGGGAGAGAAAGACGUAGAAAAACAGACAAGGAGAGAGGGCAGGAGUGGGGGACACAGGUACUGGGAGAGAGUAGAGACACAGAGACAAGAGAGAAAAGGCAACAAAGACAAAGCCAGAGACGCCCAGCCCGAGAGACAGAGCCACACGGAGAGAAUGGAGAGGGGAGCAGGGUCAGAGGGCCCGGACGACGCAGAGAAGGACGCGAAAGGACGUGAGAGGGACUUCCCCCAGGGGCAGGGAGAGGCCUUGGGCAGCUCCUCCGCUGGGCCGGGCUGCCUGCCUGCUGGACUCCGGGAAGGAGGCAGUGACCGCACCCAUCUGGAAGCUGUCAGGUCCCUCAAGGAUGAGGGCGUUGGGAGGAAGCCAGACAUGAGCCACGUCUAGAGAGAGGAAGCGGCGGGAUUUGAAAAAGAUGGCCCUCCUUCUGGGAGAGCACCCACUGCUCAUCUGAAUUCUAGAGAACCACUCAAGUGCAUAUAGACGGCAUCCAUCCUAAGAAGGAAAGUGCUCUCUAAGAAGCCACUAUGCCUGAAAUGCCACCAUAUGUAUACACCAUUCCACUAUGGAAAACAUUGCCUUUUCGGGGCUCUUCCUGUGAAAUGCAGGCCAUGAGCUCUUGCUGGACAUACCAGAACAAAGACAUAGUCUCUUCAAGAUGGCAUUCACAGCCAUAGGGCAGGACGACAGGUGGGCGACAACCAUAGCCAGCAGAAGAGCAGACACUGGAACAGAGGUUCAAACCAACAACUAUGGAGCGAGCUGAGCCUUUUAUUGAAGCGUAAUACAUAUACAGAAAAAUUCACCUAUCAUAAGUAUGCAUCUUGGUAAAUUUUCACAAGGAAUAUACCCAUGGAACCAACAUCCAGAUCAAAAUCUGUCAGGCGUCUAGCACCCAGAAGCCCCUGCGGGUCCCUGCCAGUUACUAUGUGCCCCCAAGGCUGACCACUGUCCUGUCUUCUGGUACCACAGGUUUGUUUUGCCUGUUUUUUGAACUUUAUAAAUGCAAGUGUACAGUA
Molecule: long non-coding RNA, 1046 nt
Organism: Homo sapiens (human)
Lineage: Eukaryota; Metazoa; Chordata; Mammalia; Primates; Hominidae
Exons: 4
Source: RefSeq, a predicted model, not a curated record